Non-coding RNA from Phrynosoma platyrhinos (Desert horned lizard), 72 nucleotides. The record is from the annotation of a GenBank genome assembly. NCBI's taxonomy places the organism in Eukaryota, Metazoa, Chordata, Lepidosauria, Squamata, Phrynosomatidae.
GCCAGAGUGGUGUAGUGGUUUGAGCAUUAGACAAUGACUCUGGAGACCAGGGUUUGAAUCCCUGCUCAGCCA